This 925-nucleotide ribosomal RNA is filed under the name Psilocybe ovoideocystidiata. RNAcentral describes it as "partial large subunit ribosomal RNA". It matches the Rfam family "Eukaryotic large subunit ribosomal RNA", at positions 30 to 941 of the family's 3401-position model. Lineage: Eukaryota; Fungi; Basidiomycota; Agaricomycetes; Agaricales; Agrocybaceae. The record is from RNAcentral.
AAACUUAGCAUAUCAAUAAGCGGAGGAAAAGAAACUAACAAGGAUUCCCCUAGUAACUGCGAGUGAAGCGGGAAAAGCUCAAAUUUAAAAUCUGGCGGUCUCCGGCCGUCCGAGUUGUAAUCUAGAGAAGUGUUAUCCGCGCUGGACCGUGUACAAGUCUCCUGGAAUGGAGCGUCAUAGAGGGUGAGAAUCCCGUCUUUGACACGGACUGCCAGGGCUUUGUGAUGCGCUCUCAAAGAGUCGAGUUGUUUGGGAAUGCAGCUCAAAAUGGGUGGUAAAUUCCAUCUAAAGCUAAAUAUUGGCGAGAGACCGAUAGCGAACAAGUACCGUGAGGGAAAGAUGAAAAGAACUUUGGAAAGAGAGUUAAACAGUACGUGAAAUUGCUGAAAGGGAAACGCUUGAAGUCAGUCGCGUUGGCCGGGAAUCAACCUUGCUUUUGCUGGGCGUAUUUUCUGGUCGACGGGUCAACAUCAAUUUUGACCGUUGGAUAAAGUCUGAGGGAAUGUGGCUUCUUCGGGAGUGUUAUAGCCCUUGGUCGCAUACAACGAUUGGGAUUGAGGAACUCAGCACGCCGCAAGGCCGGGUACUUGUACCACGUUCGUGCUUAGGAUGUUGGCAUAAUGGCUUUAAUCGACCCGUCUUGAAACACGGACCAAGGAGUCUAACAUGCCUGCGAGUGUUUGGGUGGAAAACCCGAGCGCGUAAUGAAAGUGAAAGUUGAGAUCCCUGUCGUGGGGAGCAUCGACGCCCGGACCAGACCUUUUGUGACGGAUCCGCGGUAGAGCAUGUAUGUUGGGACCCGAAAGAUGGUGAACUAUGCCUGAAUAGGGUGAAGCCAGAGGAAACUCUGGUGGAGGCUCGUAGCGAUUCUGACGUGCAAAUCGAUCGUCAAAUUUGGGUAUAGGGGCGAAAGACUAAUCGAACC